AAUUCUCGCCCGGCCUUUCUCCAGGACUAACGGCCUGAAAAGCCAUUGUUAUAGACAUUUAACUACGAGAAC
RNAcentral lists this transfer RNA (72 nucleotides) under Oenanthe isabellina (Isabelline wheatear). Its description in RNAcentral is "tRNA-Glu". The record is from RNAcentral. Lineage: Eukaryota; Metazoa; Chordata; Aves; Passeriformes; Muscicapidae.